ACAAGCAGCGGAGCAUGUGGUUAAUUCGAAGCAACGCGAAGACCUUACCAGGGCUUGACAUCCCUCUGACAGUCCCUUAACCGGGACCUUCUUCGGACAGAGGAGACAGGUGGUGCAUGGUUGUCGUCAGCUCGUGUCGUGAGAUGUUGGGUUAAGUCCCGCAACGAGCGCAACCCUUGUCUUUAGUUGCCAUCAUUCAGUUGGGCACUCUAGAGAGACUGCCGAGGACAACUCGGAGGAAGUGGGGAUGACGUCAAAUCAUCAUGCCCCUUAUGUCCUGGGCUACACACGUGCUACAAUGGCUGGUACAAAGAGACGCAAGACCGCGAGGUGGAGCAAAUCUCAAAAACCAGUCCCAGUUCGGAUUGUAGGCUGCAACUCGCCUGCAUGAAGUCGGAGUUGCUAGUAAUCGCGGAUCAGCGUGCCGCGGUGAAUACGUUCCCGGGCCUU
RNAcentral lists this ribosomal RNA (450 nucleotides) under uncultured Eubacteriales bacterium. Its description in RNAcentral is "bacterial SSU rRNA". It matches the Rfam family "Bacterial small subunit ribosomal RNA", at positions 925 to 1382 of the family's 1533-position model. Lineage: Bacteria; Bacillati; Bacillota; Clostridia; Eubacteriales. The record is from RNAcentral.